This 153-nucleotide ribosomal RNA is filed under the name Stuckenia filiformis. RNAcentral's name for it is "5.8S ribosomal RNA". It matches the Rfam family "5.8S ribosomal RNA". From Rfam's summary of the family: 5.8S ribosomal RNA (5.8S rRNA) is a component of the large subunit of the eukaryotic ribosome. The record is from RNAcentral. Lineage: Eukaryota; Viridiplantae; Streptophyta; Magnoliopsida; Alismatales; Potamogetonaceae.
AUGUCUCUCGGCAACGGAUAUCUUGGUCCUCGCAUCGAUGAAGAACGUAGCGAAAUGCGAUACUUGGUGUGAAUUGCAGAAUCCCGUGAACCAUCGAAUUUUUGAACGCAAGUUGCGCCCUAAGCUUCCGGGCCGAGGGCAAGCCUGCGUGGG